AUGAACGCUGGCGGCGUGCCUAACACAUGCAAGUCGCACGAAGCUUGCCGGAUGAUUUCUUCGGAAUGAAACCAGAUAUGACUUAGUGGCGGACGGGUGAGUAACACGUGAGCAACCUGCCUUUCAGAGGGGGAUAACGGCUGGAAACGGUCGCUAAUACCGCAUGAUGUGUUCGGAUGGCAUCAUCUGAACAUCAAAGAUUUAUCGCUGAAAGAUGGGCUCGCGUCUGAUUAGAUAGUUGGUGGGGUAACGGCCUACCAAGUCUACGAUCAGUAGCCGGACUGAGAGGUUGAACGGCCACAUUGGGACUGAGAUACGGCCCAGACUCCUACGGGAGGCAGCAGUGGGGAAUAUUGCACAAUGGGGGAAACCCUGAUGCAGCAACGCCGCGUGAAGGAUGACGGUUUUCGGAUUGUAAACUUCUUUUCUUAGUGACGAAGACAGUGACGGUAGCUAAGGAAUAAGCAUCGGCUAACUACGUG
This 482-nucleotide ribosomal RNA is filed under the name uncultured bacterium. RNAcentral's name for it is "partial 16S ribosomal RNA". It matches the Rfam family "Bacterial small subunit ribosomal RNA", at positions 29 to 507 of the family's 1533-position model. The record is from RNAcentral.